This 492-nucleotide ribosomal RNA is filed under the name uncultured bacterium. RNAcentral's name for it is "partial 16S ribosomal RNA". It matches the Rfam family "Bacterial small subunit ribosomal RNA", at positions 29 to 507 of the family's 1533-position model. The record is from RNAcentral.
AGUGAACGCUGGCGGUAGGCCUAACACAUGCAAGUCGAACGGCAGCACAGUAAGAGCUUGCUCUUACGGGUGGCGAGUGGCGGACGGGUGAGGAAUACAUCGGAAUCUACUUUUUCGUGGGGGAUAACGUAGGGAAACUUACGCUAAUACCGCAUACGACCUACGGGUGAAAGCAGGGGAUCUUCGUACCUUGCGCGAUUGAAUGAGCCGAUGUCGGAUUAGCUAGUUGGCGGGGUAAAGGCCCACCAAGGCGACGAUCCGUAGCUGGUCUGAGAGGAUGAUCAGCCACACUGGAACUGAGACACGGUCCAGACUCCUAAGGGAGGCAGCAGUGGGGAAUAUUGGACAAUGGGCGCAAGCCUGAUCCAGCCAUACCGCGUGGGUGAAGAAGGCCUUCGGGUUGUAAAGCCCUUUUGUUGGGAAAGAAAAGCAGCAGGUUAAUACCCCGCUGUUCUGACGGUACCCAAAGAAUAAGCACAGGCUAACUUAGUG